CGCUAGAUGUGGGGACCAUUCCACGGUUUCCGUGUCGCAGCUAACGCAUUAAGCGCCCCGCCUGGGGAGUACGGCCGCAAGGCUAAAACUCAAAGGAAUUGACGGGGGCCCGCACAAGCGGCGGAGCAUGCGGAUUAAUUCGAUGCAACGCGAAGAACCUUACCAAGGCUUGACAUAUACCUGAAAAGGCUGGAAACAGUCUCCCCGCAAGGCAGGUAUACAGGUGGUGCAUGGUUGUCGUCAGCUCGUGUCGUGAGAUGUUGGGUUAAGUCCCGCAACGAGCGCAACCCUCGUUCUAUGUUGCCAGCACGUAAUGGUGGGAACUCAUAGGAGACUGCCGGGGUCAACUCGGAGGAAGGUGGGGAUGACGUCAAAUCAUCAUGCCCCUUAUGUCUUGGGCUUCACGCAUGCUACAAUGGCCGGUACAAAGGGCUGCAAUACCGUAAGGUGGAGCGAAUCCCAAAAAGCCGGUCUCAGUUCGGAUUGAGGUCUGCAACUCGACCUCAUGAAGUCGGAGUCGCUAGUAAUCGCAGAUCAGCAACGCUGCGGUGAAUACGUUCCCGGGCCUUGUACACACCGCCCGUCAAGUCAUGAAAGUCGGUAACACCCGAAGCCAGUGGCCCAACCGCAAGGAGGGAGCUGUCGAAGGUGGGAUCGGUGAUUAGGACU
RNAcentral lists this ribosomal RNA (669 nucleotides) under uncultured Actinomycetes bacterium. RNAcentral's name for it is "bacterial SSU rRNA". It matches the Rfam family "Bacterial small subunit ribosomal RNA", at positions 814 to 1482 of the family's 1533-position model. Lineage: Bacteria; Bacillati; Actinomycetota; Actinomycetes. The record is from RNAcentral.